RNAcentral lists this long non-coding RNA (683 nucleotides) under Dromaius novaehollandiae (emu). RNAcentral describes it as "lncRNA (ENSDNVG00000000602.1)". The record is from RNAcentral. Lineage: Eukaryota; Metazoa; Chordata; Aves; Casuariiformes; Dromaiidae.
CUUCACCAGCUUUGUCAAAAACCCUGCCCUCACAACCAUUUUGUGCAUCCAUAAAUGCAAGGUACGCUCUUCCCAGCACUCAAACUUUCUCUUCUUCCACUUUGUGAAGCAAUUGCCUGGCGCUCUUAGCUCCCACACAUCUGGAGGAGGAGUCGUAUGACAGUGGCUAGUGAAGAUUUCCUUUUGGCAACCUUCAGUGUACAAAGGAGGAUGGGGAUCAGAGGGACAGGCAUGUUACAAAAGCUACCAAAGCAAUGUUUUAGGAAUAUUAAUCUCCACAACUAGGGUUGGAAGCUGUCAUAUAACAGUUUUUCUUCCCUUUUCUGGACUUUUGUAGAAGGCACACAAGUUAUGAUGAUAACUUCAGCCGUACUGUGAUCUUCAUGUUUUUAACUGCUUUCUCAGAAGCCUGAAGCCUUUUCUGCAGGACACAGCCAGGAGCUGCUCUACGUAAGGGCUGUCAUGCUGCACUGCGCUCCCACUUAUCUCCCCGCUGCUCACCCUUCUUGAAUAGCUGAAGCAUGGUGUGGAUUGCACUUGUUUCAGCAAAGAAAACUCUGCCAAGUGAAAGCAAAGCUUGCCCACCAACGUGGAGAGGAUUUCAUUGUCCGAAGAAAUUGCCUCAGCAAAAAGGCUGGCAUGGAGAUCUGUGUAGACUCGGACAGGCUCUGCAUUAUCCAUAA